CCUGAAUCAAAAUUUUUCUGGGUUGUGUUUGAUUAUUUUGUGAGUAAACAAAUUCAGGAUAUAAGUAACUUUAUAGUCUUGCGCUAAUUUAGUGUGGUAACCUAAUUAAUAAUAUUGCCACAUCUUCAGAAUAUAACCCAUUUCUACCCCCCACCUUAUUAUCUUGGGAAACAGGAAACCAAAUAUGAAUUGAAACUAAAUUCGCUUACAAAUAAAGAACUUUUCAAGACACAGGAAAUGUAUUUUUAUUCUACUUAGUAGAACAUUAAAGAACAUUAAAGAAGUAGAACAUUAAAGAUCAUUAAAGAACUUUUCUAUGCGGAUUAAUAUUUUAAUAUUCUGAAAUCUGAAUAAUAAUAUGCCUUAAGAAAUUCAAGGAGUGUAAUAUGAUUUCUGAUAUAAAAGUACUUCAGGGAAAACAAACUAUUUCAAAUAUGUUAACUAUUAUUACUACUCCAAAUUCUUCAAACACUGUGCCGUUCUAAUUUAUUAAUGAAAUGAUACACUAUUGAAAUGAUUUCAUUUUUAAUAAUGCCUCACAAAAUUUGAAUGUCUUUGCUUUCAUUAGGUGAUCAUUCAAAAUACCAAGCACAGCUGCUCACAGAUGACUGACCAAACAGGAAUCUCACUCCAUUUUUCAAUGUUCACCGGCUGACAACUUUUAGACAUCAUCCCUUCCUCAUCGUUUUUGUCCACAUUUGGGUGAGCUACUAAGAGAGCCUGUGCUUUCUCCUUCAGUACCUGCUGGAAACUGAAACCAUACAAGCCCCCCCCCCCUUAUCCGUACCCCACCCUUAAAUGCAAUAAAAACUCCUGAGCCAGUCUCUUUUUCUGGCACUCUCCAGACACUUCAGACCUCCUUGAGAUCCCUGCUCUGUGUGGUGUACUACUCUUGACAUUUCAGUCAAAUUUCAGUGAAAGUGCCCCCUGCUUUUGCAGGGUGACCGUAACGGCUUGACCCCUGCAGGAACUGAUCGAUCAAGGAAGACAACACAACAGCUGCAUGGAUUUCCUUCACAAACUAUUGUUUUUAUCUUCAUAAUUCAAAGAUUAAGCCAUAUGGGUGAAAAGUUGUAUCACACUCUGAAACCAAGUAGCUGGAAAAUACCCCGAAUUCUGAGGCUGCAUCAGGCUGAACUGGAAUGAAAGAACAUGAGCUGAAUAUUUCAUACUGUGCUGAUUCCUAAAGCUGGAAAUGAUGGAGGAAACCACAAACAUAUUUUAAUCUUUUGAUUACUAAUAUAUGUAUAGAUAAGCCCAUCACUAUUUUCUACUCUCGCAAAUGGUUAAUUUUAUUUAUUUAUUUUUUACAAAUGGUUUAUAAGACUAUCAAUAUUCUGCAUCUUCCUCAACACUAGGUUUCAUUAUCCUUUCAACUACUGACAAAAUGAUAGACAAGAAUACAUUGCUAAAAUGUUACUAUCAUCACACAUUUCCCUAUAAAAAACAUUGCCA
Molecule: long non-coding RNA, 1455 nt
Filed under: Felis catus (domestic cat)
Lineage: Eukaryota; Metazoa; Chordata; Mammalia; Carnivora; Felidae
Description: lncRNA (ENSFCAG00000045125.2)
Source: RNAcentral